CACGUAGGGCGCAAGCGUUGUCCGGAAUUAUUGGGCGUAAAGAGCUCGUAGGCGGUCUGUUACGUCUGCUGUGAAAACCCGGGGCUUAACCCUGGGCUUGCAGUGGAUACGGGCAGACUAGAGGCAGGUAGGGGAGAAUGGAAUUCCCGGUGUAGCGGUGAAAUGCGCAGAUAUCGGAAGGAAGACCAGUGGCGAAGGCGGGUCUCUGGACAGUUCCUGACGCUGAGGCACGAAGGUCAGGGGAGCAAACGGG
This 253-nucleotide ribosomal RNA is filed under the name uncultured bacterium. Its description in RNAcentral is "partial 16S ribosomal RNA". It matches the Rfam family "Bacterial small subunit ribosomal RNA", at positions 524 to 776 of the family's 1533-position model. The record is from RNAcentral.